AUGCUCCUGUGUAAGAAUUUCUUUAUUGAAGAUUACUCUUGUGUCUUGUGCAACAGGAAAACGCUAAAAACCCUAGACCAUUUGUUCUUCCACUGCCCAUUUGCUCGGACGUGCUGGUCAUAUCUCUGUUCAAAUUGGGUACCAUCACCAGGAUAUACAGGCAGAUAUCUCUUCUUUAAAGACGCAGCUGGGAUUGCCAUCUCCCUGGAAAUUAUCAUCUUAGCCUCCUGGGCCAUCUGGAACACCAGAAGUGAUUUGAUGUUCAAAGGCAUCACACCAAGCCUCUACAGCUGCAGAAGAAGAUUUAAACAGGAGCUCAACUGGCUGGUCCACCCAGCUAAGAAGAUAUCUUGCUAA
This 357-nucleotide ribosomal RNA is filed under the name Triticum aestivum (bread wheat). RNAcentral describes it as "partial small subunit ribosomal RNA". The record is from RNAcentral. Lineage: Eukaryota; Viridiplantae; Streptophyta; Magnoliopsida; Poales; Poaceae.